RNAcentral lists this ribosomal RNA (492 nucleotides) under uncultured bacterium. RNAcentral's name for it is "bacterial SSU rRNA". It matches the Rfam family "Bacterial small subunit ribosomal RNA", at positions 21 to 507 of the family's 1533-position model. The record is from RNAcentral.
GGCUCAGAUUGAACGCUGGCGGCAUGCCUUACACAUGCAAGUCGAACGGCAGCGACGGGGGCAACCCUGGUGGCGAGUGGCGAACGGGUGAGUAAUGCAUCGGAACGUACCCGGAAGUGGGGGAUAACGUAGCGAAAGUUACGCUAAUACCGCAUAUUCUGUGAGCAGGAAAGCAGGGGAUCGCAAGACCUUGCGCUUUCGGAGCGGCCGAUGUCGGAUUAGCUAGUUGGUGAGGUAAAAGCUCACCAAGGCGACGAUCCGUAGCUGGUCUUAGAGGAUGAUCAGCCACACUGGGACUGAGACACGGCCCAGACUCCUACGGGAGGCAGCAGUGGGGAAUUUUGGACAAUGGGCGAAAGCCUGAUCCAGCCAUGCCGCGUGAGUGAAGAAGGCCUUCGGGUUGUAAAGCUCUUUCGGACAGAAAGAAAUCGCAUCGGCUAAUACUCGAUGUGGAUGACGGUACUGUCAUAAGAAGCACCGGCUAACUACGUG